Molecule: ribosomal RNA, 473 nt
Filed under: uncultured bacterium
Lineage: Bacteria
Description: partial 16S ribosomal RNA
Rfam family: Bacterial small subunit ribosomal RNA
Source: RNAcentral
AGUGAACGCUGGCGGUAGGCCUAACACAUGCAAGUCGAACGGCAGCACAGUAAUAGCUUGCUCUUACGGGUGGCGAGUGGAGGACGGGUGAGGAAUACAUCGGAAUCUACUUUUUCGUGGGGGAUAACGUAGGGAAACUAACGCUAAUACCGCAUACGACCUACGGGUGAAAGCAGGGGAUCUUCGGACCUUGCGGGAAUGAAUGAGCUGGUGUCGGAUUAGCUAGUUGGGGGGGUAAAGGCCCACCAAGGCGACGGCGGGUAGCUGGUCUGAGGGGGGGAAACGCCACAUUGGGACCGAGGGGAGGCCCAAGUGCGUACUGGUGGAAGAAGGGGGGAAUAUUGCACAAGGGGCGGAGGGCUGAUGCAGCAACGCCGCGUGUGGGAUGACGGCUUUCGGGUUGUAAAACGCUUUCAGCAGGGGCCCAGCUUGUGGUGACGGUACCUGAAGAAGAAGCACCGGCUAACUACGUG